Long non-coding RNA from Musa acuminata AAA Group (dessert banana), 3508 nucleotides. RefSeq lists it as uncharacterized. NCBI's taxonomy places the organism in Eukaryota, Viridiplantae, Streptophyta, Magnoliopsida, Zingiberales, Musaceae. The record is from RefSeq and is a predicted model, not a curated record. The transcript has 3 exons.
GAUCCACUUCGCCUCUCGAGCGGGAAGAGCCGAGAAGGGUCGAGAAGCCUCUCGAGCCGAGCGUGCGAAUGGUCUGCGCGCCAUUCUCCGGAGAAAGAUUGUGAAGCUCUUCUCCGGAGAAAGAUUGUGAAGCUCUUCUCCGGAGUCGAAGGAUUCGGGGGAGAGAGAGAAGGGAAGGAAAGAAAGAAAGGGUUCGCAGAUCGAUUCGCCGUUACUCUCACCAGGGUUAUGUUUGAGUUCCUUUUGUUCGUUCUGAUCUGGGAGGGGGUUGCGGAAUCGGCUUAUGGGGUGAACCAAAGUGCGUGGGGCGAGGGAAAUGGGGUAAAAUGGGAGCGGAAGCUGCUCUCUCAUGGGAGGAUUGAGCAGAGAUUACUAGACUCGUCGUUUCCCGCUUCUUCGCAGCCAUCAGACAACGCAGGAAGAACACUUGUGGUGUGUAGGAUAACGCAGGAUGGACUCCUAUGGAUAUCAACGCAGCUGAUGUUGGAAAAACAGGAUGGAGAUGAAAAUAAGAGUCUGCAGACUGAUAAAUGGAGAAAUCAGUUCCCAUGGCCAAUAAUCUGGAUUCCUGGUGAUCAUAAAUCAGAAGAUGCAGUAAAAGAUUUGGUGGUGAGAAAAUUUGAUCAAAAUGUUGAAGAAAAAUCACCCUCAAAGUUAAAAACCAUUCCAUUAAAACUUCUUGAGGAUAGCACUGUGGUGAAUUACUAAGAAAUGUGGAGGACAAGCGCAAAACUCUUGGGCAUCGAGAAGCAUUAGCUGAGAAAGAAAGAAGAACUAAGAUCAUCCCUGUUAGGCAUAUAGAAGAGGACAUGGAUGAGAAGCACAAAAUUAAGGAGAAGGACAAUUCCCUUAGAAUACCUAAAAAACAAGAGAAUGGAGUUAACAAGUCAUUAGAUAGCAAACAAUUGUCACAGAUCAAGACAUUAACGUUACCUUCUAUAUGUUGAGAGUGGAUCCACUGGCAAGGAAGAAGAUGGUAAAUGGCACAUCGAGGUCUCCUAGUCCACCAGUCCUUAAGGUCAAUGAGAAAGCCAACAAGGACAAAACAGAAAGAGAACAGCAAACAGUAAAAGAUAAGAAGGAACAGAUACCUAAAAAAGAGAUUCAGGCAGCAGAACCUUAUGUUAAAUUGUCAAAUGAAGCAGAAAAUUCAAAAAAGAAAAGUCAGGCAAUGAUGACAACUAAUCUAAAUGAAGAAACUGCUAAGAUUAUGAAUGAUCAACAGUCCAACAAAGGAGCAGGACUCAAGGUUAUGAAGGUCAAGACAGUAGAGAUACUAGAAGGAGGAUGAUCAACAACCAAUUGAUAAAGCACCACGUGAACUCGACGAGGGGAAGAGGCAUAUGGAGAGCACAGAAAGCAUAAUUACUGAUGGAAAGAAGGCAACGAAAAUUUUGUCACAGGAAGAUGCAGCAGUUCUUAUUCAAUCUGCUUAUAAAGGAUUUGAGGUGAGAAGAUCACAACCUCUUGAGAAGCUACGAAAAGUACAUCAAAUUCGUCAACAAAUUGAGGUGGCGAAGAACAAAAUUCAAAUGUUUGAAUCCUCCUCCACAGACCAAGAUUUGAAACACAAGGUUGCAGCAAGUGAGACCAUAAUGAAUCUUCUGUUGCAGCUGGAUACCAUUCAGGCGUUGCGCCAAAGUGUCGGAGACCUGAGAAAGUCAGUUGCUAGGGAGCUAACCAUUCUUCAAGAAAAGCUUGAUUCGCUAGGCAGUCCAGUCGUCGUGGGACACGAAAAGAUGAAACUUAAACACCCCAGUCACACAGUUUCUGAUUGUGGAGCUACCUCUGCGACUGACCCAUCUGUUACUACCCAUUUGGUGCCGGAAAAUGUCAUCACAAUCAGCUGAGGCAACUUGUUCGUUGGAGAUAACAUCUGCGGAUGGAAAGGAAGCAACUAUCCAACGACAGAGAGAUCUAAAACUGUUAGUGACUGAAUCUCGAGAUUUUGCAACUGGAUCAAAUAAUUUCAAAUCAUCGAACAGCAUAAAGAAAUAGCUUUUAUGAAAUAGCAAUUUGCUUCUGCGGUGAGGGACGCAAUUGAAUCACAUGCUGUGGGGAAAGAACAAUCCUUUGGAUUGGAAGAUGCAAUAAAGAUUGUAGCAUCUACUUCUCAAGAAGUCUUAGAGGCGGCACCCUCUACCUCUGUAGAUGAGGUGGCAAAACUUGAGACAGACAAGCAUCUAGAAUGUCAAGGGACCAACUCUUUUCUCAAACAGGUGAGAGAUGAGCUGUCCGGUUCUAAAGCUGGAAUUAGUGAGAAGAUUGAUGUUGAAUUGGAGAAACCAAUAAUGCACUUGGUAGAGGGAGAAGCUACCAAAGUGGCAUCUGAGGAAUCAAAGCUUUCUUUUAGAACAACUAACCCUGAAUCAGUGUGGCGUGUAGAACGCACAGCUGCAGUCUGCAUCAAGGAAACUGUUUCACAGGGUGAUGAAGUUGAUACCAAGCUGGAGGAUCUUCAGGUGCCUGAAUUGCAAAACCCGGACCUUGUUGAGAAGACAGUGGGAGAUACAGAUGACCUCCGCAUAGUCACAGAAGUUCCAUGCUUUGAACAUGCUGUCCCCAUCACUGGUGUCACCGACAAUGGAAACGCUCAAAUGCCUAGUUGGCAACUUAGAAAAGCAGGCAGCAGAUACUGACAGGAUGGGUACACUCCUUAUGGUUCCAACUUACAACGAAGGUCAUUCACUGGGAGCUUUUGAACCUGGCCAAGAGAAUGGAAUCAGUCCAAUGCUGUUGCCUGAUGCCAUCAGUAUUAUUAAAAAUGAAGACAUUUCUUCGGAUUAAACAUUUCGAGCAAACAUUGAUGUAGAAGGGACAGAUGGGUCUGGCUGGAUCAGAUCCAAGGCUGCUUCCUGAUGCAGCAAAUAUAAAAAAAGAUGAAUGUAUCUAUCUCUACGGCUGAUACAUUCGAAACCAAUGUCAAUGAAGUUGAUGGUGCAGCUUCAGAUCAAGAAAGCAUGUCUUUUAGCAGACCCGACUCUCUAGCUCGAGGUAAGGCUGAAGGUUUGGCUCAUUCGGCAAAGCUGAAUGGUAUUGCUCCUGAUGUCCAUUUAAGCAAGGAAGAGAAUGAAAAGUUAAGAGAAAUGUCAGAGAGGCUGCUUGAGGCACUGCUGGGAGUCAUUGCCGAUGUUAAUGGAAGAGUCAAACGACUUGGAGAGAAAACUCUCGCAACAGUAAAGGUGCAAGGUAAAAAAGUUUCAGACCAAAAAUGAACCCUCCUCCCAUAAAAGCUGCAUCAUCCGCUAAUAAUGUGAAAGUUGCAGCUUAAGAUAUCUGUAUACAUAUGCAGGAUACGAUAAGUAUAAAAUGAAGUGGUUCCCACCCCCACCUUUUUUUUUUUGCUUCAUCUUUGUAUGUACCAAAUGGAUUGAAGAAUGUGCAUGCUUUUCUAUUGUAACACCGUGGUGUUUCUUCUCUAGUAUCCUUUGGGAAUGUCCAUGCUUUUGUUUGUAAUCCUGGGACUUUUGUCUCCCAUUAUUUUCAUGCCAUGUUCUCUUUCUCCUUC